AAAAAAAUUACACCACGUAAGACCGCCCAGUCAGCAGCCCCGACGAACCGGAGUAUGCUGCGUGGGAAGGAGCGUUGACUCAGCUCCACGCGGGAGGCCACGCUAGCAAUCUGCGUGCUUCCGAUCGGACGGCCCGGAUGCAUUCCCACACGCGUGGACAGUCCAGAUCCAUUCUCUCUUCAGACCCGAUCGGACGGUUAUGAUUAAACAAGAUGAACGGUGCAUAUUUAUUUUUUCUUUAAACCUGAUCGAAAGGUCAAGAUCAAAUCGUGACGAAUGGUUCAAAUUCAUUUCUUCUUUAAAUGCGAUCUGACGUUCGAGAUCAAAUGUGAUGAAUGACCUAUAUUUAAGGGAGACCGGUAUAAAUAUCUCGCAUCACACCGAACCCAGACCAUAGACGCCAGCCUCACACCGGAGAAGAAGAACCAGUCAUUGGAAAAAGGAGACGACCGCCGACAGCCGCCGCGCUGGAGCCACCUCCGACCGCCAAAAAAGGUAAAAAUUCUUCUAUUUGUUAGGAAUUUAAUUCUGAAUAACCUCAUAGCCAAAUCGAAGCAUAAAGAAUGGCAGAUGCGCUGAAAAUCGGGGGCAAAGCCUAGCGGCGCCGAUGCGGGCAAAACUCGAAAUCGCCUCUGAAGAGUCCCUUCUCGUUUCUCCUUUUGUGUGAUUUUUCUACCAUUGUGUUCACCAUUCUGUUUUCUAUAGGUUAGCCGAAGAAAAA
Molecule: long non-coding RNA, 721 nt
Filed under: Carica papaya (papaya)
Lineage: Eukaryota; Viridiplantae; Streptophyta; Magnoliopsida; Brassicales; Caricaceae
Description: long non-coding RNA (CPAP_LNC014708)
Source: RNAcentral